GAAAUGCGAUAAGUAAUGUGAAUUGCAGAAUUCAGUGAAUCAUCGAAUCUUUGAACGCACAUUGCGCCCGGGAGCAUUCUCCCGGGCAUGCCUGUUCGAGCGUCAUUUCAACCCUCGACCUCCCCUUGGAGAGGCCGGCCGUUGGAGAUCGGCAGCGAUUGCCGGCUCCCAAAUUCAGUGGCGACCCGCCGCGGGGACCCCUGCGCAGUAACAUACACUCGCACCGGAAACCAGACGUGUCACGCCGUAAAACCCCAACUUUCUGAACGUUGACCUCGGAUCAGGUAGGAAUACCCGCUGAACUUAA
This 307-nucleotide unclassified non-coding RNA is filed under the name uncultured Lecanicillium. Its description in RNAcentral is "sequence contains ITS1". The stretch from base 1 to 105 matches the Rfam family "5.8S ribosomal RNA", at positions 50 to 154 of the family's 154-position model. The record is from RNAcentral. Lineage: Eukaryota; Fungi; Ascomycota; Sordariomycetes; Hypocreales; Cordycipitaceae.